CCUACGGGUGGCAGCAGUGGGGAAUAUUGGGCAAUGGGCGCAAGCCUGACCCAGCAAUGCCGCGUGAAGGAAGAAGGCCUUCGGGUUGUAAACUUCUUUGACAGGGGAAGAGCAGAAGACGGUACCCUGAAAACAAGCCACGGCUUACUACGUGCCAGCAGCCGCGGUAAUACGUAGGUGGCAAGCGGUGUCCGGAUUUACUGGGUGUAAAGGGCGUGUAGUCGGGAAGGCAAGGCAGAUGUGAAAUCUGGGGGGUCAAACUCCAAAUUGCAUUUGAAACUGUUUUUCUUGAGUACUGGAGAGGCAGACGGAAUUCCAUGUGUAGCGGUGAAAUGCGUAGAUAUAAGGAAGAACACCAGUGGCGAAGGCGGUCUGCUGGACAGAUACUGACGGUGAGGCGCGAAAGCGUGGGGAGCAAACAGGAUUAGAUACCCGAGUAGUC
RNAcentral lists this ribosomal RNA (442 nucleotides) under uncultured bacterium. RNAcentral's name for it is "partial 16S ribosomal RNA". It matches the Rfam family "Bacterial small subunit ribosomal RNA", at positions 338 to 795 of the family's 1533-position model. The record is from RNAcentral.